Molecule: RNA transcript, 3180 nt
Organism: Triticum aestivum (bread wheat)
Lineage: Eukaryota; Viridiplantae; Streptophyta; Magnoliopsida; Poales; Poaceae
Exons: 10
Source: RefSeq, a predicted model, not a curated record
GCAGAAACCCCCCACGUGAUCAUCCUAGGCGCUCCUCCCUUUUCUAGUUUUCUUCCCACCCGUGGCUCCUCCGUCCUCUCCGCCCCGUACGCUCUUGACUGACUGAACCGAUCCGGCGACCCCUGCCUCCCUCGGAGAGCAUCCCCCCACCGGAUCAGCUCCUCCUCCGGUGGACCGCGCUGCCGUGGGCGCUGAGCGAAGGCCUCCGGUGGAUCCGUCCCGCGGAGCACCGAUCGCGCUCUGAUUUUCGGCCGUUUUGUUGGGGGCCUGACAGCCAAGCGGAGGUGAGGGGAGGGGGGCGAGGCGAGCAAGGAAGUAGCCUGAAGGUGGGGUGAGAAAGGGAAGCAGAGGAACCAAGAUUCAAUAUAAUUUUGUGGUACACAGAAGAGUAACACAUCAAAGACAGCGCAAAUACAUAACCAUCAGCAUGCCUUUUUUCCUUACUGUUUUUUCAUGGUUUCUCUGGUCAUCUAUGUGCACAGUUUGACCCAGUGAAGCUGAAGAAACUUGGGGCCAGCGUUUAAGAAGAAUUGGCCUGUAACAGCUGGCAGUUCUUCUACUAUAAGGUCUCAAGAUUCACAAAUAGCCUCAUUCUAGUGGAUACGAUCAAGAAAGCGACAGUUUGGUCACACUUGGAUCCGAGAGUUCAUGGCCGGUGCUCCAAGUUAAAGAGCCAGUCAUGUUAUAAUAGCUACAUAAAUGUUCAAGUAUCUCGAUUCUUAAAAAGGGUAAGGUGUGAAGUGACGCCCUGUAUCCAAAAACAUGUGGACGGCCACAAGGAGUGGAACAGAUAGACAAGAGAAGCUUGGACAAGAUCGCCAAUGAUGCCCUCCGAUCCUUACAGUUUUUUUUACAAAUCAAUGACGCAACAUGCCGAUCCUAUCGACCAUAAACAGACAAAAUGUAAAACUGGGGUAAAACCGUGUUAAAAGUCUCCAAAAUCUGACAUUUCGAUAAAAGUUCCGCUAAAUAGGGUAAUAUGUGUCACAAAUGUACAACUACAAGGCCGCAAGAUGACUGUAAUAGAUUUCAUAGAUCUGAGUGAUCAUGAUAUUAUUGACUUGAGCAGCAGCGAUGAUGAGACUGUUCAGGAGGAUCAUAUUGCAACUCAGCACCGGGCGGCGUCGCUUGAUAGGCAGACUAUGCAUGUCGUAGCUGGUGAAGGAAUCCAAGAUGUGCAGGCUGCGCUUGUUGCAGCUAGUGAAGGAAGGCAAGAUGUGCAGGCUGUGUUUGCUGCAGCUAGUGAAGGAAGACAAGAGGCUGCUGAUUGCGGACAUGCUUUGGAAGCCACCACAUCGUCCUUGGUUACGGAAAAAGAACCUCUUGUUGCAGCUAGUGAAGGAAGCCAAGAUGUGCAAGCUGUGCUUGUUGCAGCUCGUGAAGGAAGCCAAGAUGUGCAGGCUGCGUUUGUUGCAGCUAGUGAAGGAAGCCAAGAUGUGAAGGUUGUGCUUGUUGUAGCUACUGGAGGAAGUCAAGAAGUUUCUGACUCUGGAAAUGGUUUGGAAGCUACAGCAUUGUCUUUGGUUACUGAAAAAGCACCUCUUGAUAUGGCUGAAUCGCACAACUGUCCUCGCUCUCCCACAUCAGCGCCGUUCCCCAGCCCGACUUCUACCGUUCUGAAGGCUCCGACCUUUGAAGGUGGCGAUGCAAAGCUGGUAAGAGGAAAAGUGAAGCGUCCCAGGAAGAACUACCACACCGGUACUCCUAGGACAAGUCCUAGGUUUGAACUGAAGCCUGAAUGUCGGAACGGGCCUCUAGAAGAGCUGCCAGCCGAGGCACUGACCUCUGAAGGUGGCGACACGGAGCUGGUGAGAGAGAAGAUGCAACAUCCUGGGAAGGAUUACCAUUCCGGCACUCCUGGGACAAGUCCUAGGUUUGAACCGAAGCGUGAAUGUCAUAACGGGCCUGUGAAAGAGCUGCCAGCCGAGGCUCUGACAUCUGAAGGUGGCAACGCAAAGCUGUUGAGAGGGAAGGUCAAGCAUCCUCGGAUGAACUACCAUACCAGCACUCCUAGGAUAAGUCCUAGGUUUGUACCGAAGCUUGAAUGCCAUAACAGGCCUGUGGAAGAGCUGCCAGCCAAGGCUCUGACCUCUGAAGGAGGCAAUGAAGAGCUGGUGAGAGGGAAGCUGAAACAUCCUAGGAAGAACUACCCUGCUGGCACUCCUAGGACAAGUCCUAGGUUUGAACCAAAGCGUGAAUGUCAUAACGGGUCUGUGGAAGAAAUGCCAGCCAAGGUUCUGACCUCUAAAGGUGGUGAUGCUGAGCUGGUGAGAGGGGAAGUGAAACUUUCUAGGAAGAACUACCAUACCGGCACUCCUCGGACAAGUCCUAGGUUUGAAACAAAGCGUGGAUGUCGUAACGGGUCCGUGGAAGAGCUGCCAGCUGAGGUUCUGACCUCUGAUGGUGCUGAUGCAGAGCUGGUUAGGGAGAAGGUGAAACAUGCUAGGAAGGAUUACCAUACUGGCACUCCUAGGACAAGUCCUAGGUUUCAACUGAAGCGUGAACGUCACAAGGGGCCCGUGGAAGAACUGGCAGCCGAUCACAAGAGGUUCCGCACACUAGAAGAAUUAAUUGCCUCUCCUGACAAUGCAGAAUCUGCGAAGACCCCGUCUACUGACUCUCUGAACUAAGUGUGGUCGGAGCUCACGUUGCCCCAUGUAUUUCUGAGUUAUAUUACCAUUGCACCAAAUCCGUCUAGAUUAUAACUUGUGGCUGACUGUUGACUGCAAUACUCUCGAUGUUCACGUGCAUUUCUGUGAGAUAAUGCCUGACAAGCUGCUGAUUCCAGUUGAAUAUCUCAGAGACUUUGAACCUGUUUUGUUUCUCAUGCACAUUUUGAUGUACUUGGAGAAGAGAUGAAUUUAGGACUGAAGGCUGAACAACAUCAGUAGUACUUGAAGAAUGCUGUUCCUUGGGAGUUGAGAAACAACAUCAGGCUGCAAGCUGAGAUGUAAGUGCGCAUUAAUCAUGUAACCAACCAGCAAUAGGUUGAAAGUUGUGAGCAACUGCAGCGUGAAAUUUGUGGAAAAACUCUGUUUUUUAUGUGGUGGUUGGAACUAUAUUUAGUUGUGUUCACAAGGGAAUUUUACAACUGUGAAGGUUGAACAACUCCGUCAGUUAGUGCUACUUGUUUGAACUAUUUUUUUGGCGAGGGUACUUACUUGAAGUUCUGACCCUCUU